Molecule: long non-coding RNA, 1487 nt
Organism: Callithrix jacchus (white-tufted-ear marmoset)
Lineage: Eukaryota; Metazoa; Chordata; Mammalia; Primates; Cebidae
Source: RefSeq, a predicted model, not a curated record
AUCCUCUGAGAAGGUUCCCCUGUUAACCGGCCGGCUUGCAGUUGCAGCGGAUCUAGAGUGGGCACCGCGGACGAGAACAGAAAGCUGGAAGAGGGCUCCGCCAGCGGCACCGGGUUCACCCAUCCCCCGGCUGCGCCAGGUUUAGUACCAGCCGCGGAGCCCGGACUCCCAGUUUCCCAGGCCCUGUAGAACUGACUCAGAGUCCGACCCCAGCAGAGACGCAGGUGUGCUGAGGUCUUGAUAUCAUACAAGGAAACAAGCAAGGAUGUCUGCUUUCAACACUUCUGUUCAACAUUGGACUGGAUGUUCUAGUUGGUGCAGUCCAGUAAAAGAAAGAGAAGAAAGCAUCCAAAUUGGAAAAAAACUAAAACUGCCUUUAGUCACAGAUGACAUAAUCCUGUAUAUAGAAAAUUUCACGGAAUCACCGGGCGCUGUGGCUCACACCUAUAAUCCCAACACUUUGGGAGGCCGAGGUGGGUGGAUCACAAGGUCAGGAGAUCGAGACCAUCCUGGCUAACACAGUGAAACCCCAUCUCUACUAAAAGUAUAUAAAAUUAGCUGGGGAUGUGGCACACACCUGUAGUCCCAGCUACUUGGGAAGCUGAGGCACGAGAAUCACUUGAGGCAGAGGUUGCAGUUAGCUGAGCAACAGAGUGAGACUGCCUAAAAUGAAAAAAGAAAAAAAAAUUCAAGGAAUCAAUAAUAAUAGAACUACUGAAACUAAUAAAUGAUAUUAGCAUGCUCAAAAAUUAUAUGUCUAUAUACUAGCAGUGAAUCUUAAAAUGAAGUUGAGUAACCAAGUUCAUUCACACUAUCAAAAAGAAUAAUAGUAAUAAAUGUAAUAAAAGAAGUAAAAAUGUGGCUGGUGCAGUGGCUCACACCUGUAAUCCCAGCACUUCGGGAGGCCGAGGUGGGCGAAUCACAAGCUCAGGAGAUUGAGGCCAUCCUGGCCAACAUACUGAAACCCCAUCCCUACUAAAAAUACAAAAAUUAGGGGCCAGGCACAGUGGCUAACACCUGUAAUCACAGCACUUUGGAAGGCUGAGACAGGUGGAUCACGAGGUGAGCAGUUCAAGAACAUCCUGGCCAAGAUGGUGAAAUCCUGUCUCUACUAAAAAUACAAAAAUCAGCUGGGUGUGAUGGCAGGUGCAUGCAAUUCCAGCUACUCUGGAGGCUGGGGCAGAGAAUUAAUUGCUUGAUCCCAGGAGGCAGAUGUUGCACUGAGCCAAAAUCAUGCCACUGCACUCCAGCCUGGUGACAGAGCGAGAAUCCGUCUCAAAAAAAAAAAAAUUAGCUGGGUGUAAUGGCGCAUGCCUGUAAUCCCAGAUACUCUGGAGGCUGAGGCAGGAGAAUCGCUUGAAAGAAGGAGUCAGAGGUUCCAGUGAGCUGAGAUCGUGCCACUGCAUGCGAAUCUGGUGACAGCAAGAGACUCUGUCUCAAAAAAAAAAAAGCAAAAAUGUGUAUAUUGAAAAGAACAAAAUAUUGCU